CUCUACAUCCUCCGUUUUGUGCUUCACGGAGACGUGGCCCUGCGGAUCGAUACCGGACUCCGUGCUCCAGCUGGCGGGCUUGCAGCUGCUCCGAGCGGACCGCGACACAGAGCUCUCCGGCAAGACAAAGGGUGGAGGAAUCUGCUUCUACUUCACAAAACAGCUGGUGCAACGACGUAACGGUGAUCCUAAAACACUGUUCUCCUGAUCUGGAAACUUUCUUCAUCAACUGCAAACCCUUUUAUUCCCCUGUGAGUUUGCUUCAUUCAUCCUGGUCGGUGUUUACAUGCCGCCGGCCGGCAACGUGCACGAGGCACAGCGGACACUCGCCCACCAGAUACGGCGUGUAGAGCGGACCAACCCGGACUCUUUAGUUAUUGUCCUCGGGGACUUUAACAAAGGUAAUCUCACCCAUGAACUUCCUAAAUACAGACAGUUUAUUAAAUGCCCCACCAGAAAGGAGAACACUCUGGAUCACUGUUACACCACAGUAAGCAGGGCUUAUCACGCCGUCCCUCGUGCUGCACUGGGACACUCUGACCACGUCAUUGCAGGUUAGCAAGCAGCUGUCCAUUCAACUUCCAAGAAGCUUUUGCCGACAGACAGGAGAGUCAGAGUCAGUGCGAAUUGGAUCGUGGCAACACGCGUGUGCUGCUGAGGGUCGUUUACGUAUCUCUUCCUGGGGUAAUUGCACGAUAAGGCAUCAAAACAACUUGGUUAGGUGCUGGAAAAGAUCAUGGUUUGCGUAUUUACUAACACUUAGGUCUUUUUAACGUUUUAACUUACUCCUUAUGAAUCAGUUAUGCUAAUACUAACCCUGGAUGGGAUCAUACCGGAGAUAGCUUAAAAGUCAGUGCAUCCUAUUACAGACGCUGGAGGAGGUUCAGGGGCACUGACCAACCAUCAGUAUUUGACUAGUUGAGAGUCAUACGCGAUUCAUUCAGUUGGUGUUUUUUGUGGUCUUUAUGAACUGCACUUCAGAGUAAAGUUGAAAGAUGUGUCAAUAUCCCGCCAUGUGCUUGAGCAAGGCUAAAAUAUUCAUAUAGUUAAACCAAUCCACUUCCCGCAUGUUGUGCUACUUAGAGAUUAAAAGAAGUAGUUUUCUGGACCCCUCUCUUCUACUUUGUAGAUGUGAUCCUAUUUUUUGCUGCCGUCUUGUCUCUGCCUGCUUGGUAAAAUACAACUUUUAAUCUCAAUUAGUUCAUGGUAAAAUUUAAUUAAAUAACAUAAUAAAAAUGAUUAUGUUGCACGCAAGAGAAACUAUACUUUUAAAGAUUGUACUAAACCGCAGUGUGAGAUUGGGGCAUAACCCCCCUCCCCCCUUCCUGUUUGUUCUCUGCUUCUUUUAUUCCUUUCCAUCAUUAUUUUUCCAUCUGCUACUUCCACAAACCCUCCUAUCACACUCACACUUCUUCUGUUCUUAAUGCUCUCAUCAAUCCUGCCUACAUUCUUGCUUUCUUUUCACUUUAACCUUUUCUGCAUACAUCCAUAUUCUUCUUUUAUUUCCAUUGCCUCCCACUUUCUCUCUUUCAUCAGGCCCCUUCAUUUCUCUACUUUCCACCUCAUACCCAUCUGCCUUUGCACGCUGUGUGUGUGGCAGCUGGGUGCUUUCGGUUAUUUUUCAGGCAGCAGCCCAGAAGAUUGGACUGUCAUAAUCUAUGGUUCUGAGUUAUAAGUGUUUCUAACCCAAACCUGGGGACAGGACCAUUUUUCCACUUUUCCUCUUUGCCAACCAUCCAUCCCCCUCUUCCCCCAUCAACUUGCACACUUCCUCCCUUUCCCUGACACUUUGGCAUUGCCACCCAUUUUCUGCAGUAAAAACAUUCAAGCUCUUGCUAUUAAGCCCCCACCAUGCAGCCACGGUCCCUCUCGUGCAGUGAAUUAGCAACGUUUCAUUAUUUGAUUGGAUAGCGAGCAUUCAUGCUGAUGAAAUGAUUAAUGUGGAAUCAUAAAGAUGACCAAAGAAUUUUGAUGCUGGCCAACUAGAGAGCAAAAAUCCCAUCAUCGUGGUUAUCCUUCUUUUCCAGUAGCUUCUGCAACUACGAGUAAUGUCCCAUCCAGCAGCACUUCCUCUCCUCUUGAAACAAGUGGUGGGUUAUGUCCCAUAUUCCAAUGCAAAUCAGAAUCUGCUACAGCAUGUAUGAAGACUACUUUAGCAGUUAUUGCUUUGCCACUGCUGUCAUUGUUAUUGCUGUUAUUACAGAGGUGUGUGAACUAGGAGUGACCCUUGACUGGAGAAAAGGCAACGUUUUGUGUUUUUUUGUUUACACACUUGUAGCAGCAGAAAGUGUAGGAAAGGGAAGCUACAGUAUUUUAAUAGCACCCCCCCCCCCCCCUUUACUCUCAAUCUACUCAAUUGAGUGGUGAAUUAGAGUUCCAUUGCCUCUUUGUCAUUAUUUACAUAAGAUACAGCUAUUUCAUUGAAUAGAGAUAUUGGUGAAGCAAUCUUAAGACCAAAGGCUAAAGGGAGAACAACAAAAAUUCAUAUAAGGAUUCAUUUUUGGGAGUUUAUUCUGGCUACUUAUCUCAAGGGAGAUGCCCGAUGAAAAAAACUGUUUUCCUUUGAAUAUUGGGUGGCUAAACAGGAAUAAGAUAACGAGAUGAAUCCAAAGGCCUGGAGAGCACUGCAUAAACACACACACACUCUCAUUUACUGCUUCCUGCCGUCUCUUUGUCUCCUUUGCUCUAUCGCUUUCUCGCUCUCUUGUCUAUCAAACCCAGACGGAUAGUGAUAACGACGUGAAGAACAUCAUAAAUCUACUGCACUUUGACAUUUAAAGCCCCAGCCCCCUAUUAAACCCUGUCAAUUUGAAAUGAUUAUGGAGGCCCCAAAUCCUGCGCAACACCAACAAAACCAAAAAGUUGCUGCAAAUGAGAGUAGAAUAACAGUUUUUUCUUAUUAUCAGGGAGAAAUGGCAUCAACAAUAAAGGGAGGAGCUAAGAAAAAAACCCUCCUAAGUCUGUGAUUGUGAAGCUCGGAAAUUGACAUUUUUUCAAGCCUUUUCAUGCUCGUUAUGGUAAGAGAUGAUAUCAGCUAAUCUCGAGCAGUAAUCCCUCAUCCUUCAUAACAAAAGUGCAUUGUGUUUGGAAAAAAUCUGGCCGGCCGCGACUUAUCAAGACAAUAAAGCAGCGCCGCAGAUCCGAAGGAGAGGUGGUCGGAAAAAGACAGAGAAAAGAAUGAAAGGAAAAAAGAAAGAAAGAGGAUUUAUGAAAGGUUAGGAGAGGUUUAUGAGAUUUGGGAGCCCCAUUUGUUGGUGGAGAAAAUAUGAAUUGCUUUAUCAGCGGUAAACUAUAUGUUAUUAAUGAAAUAAGGUGUUUUGCUUCUCUUUGGGGGAAAGGCAAAUCAUACAGAUGACAAUAACUAGUGUUUUCUUUUUUUCCUUUUUCUUUCAUCCUUGCUACAUUACUUUUAGUUUGGUUCUGUUGUGAUCUCUCUAUCACAAUGCAGUUCAAGGUUAAUGCUUAAAGUUUUGCUUUUAUUAAAAGCAAAAACAUGUUUCCACCCAUGGGAAAUGAGUUCAUUUGUGUGAGUUUGUGUUGUGCACCCUGAUAUCCUUGGGCACGUACGCUUGUCUAUGUGUACUGGUGCUGCUGAAUUAUGUGUGAGAAUACAUUUGAGUGGAGUUUCAUCAGAGCUGUAUUCAUACACCCAUGCUAUGAACAAUGGAUAAUCUUCCAAGCAAAGCCUGUUGAAGUCUGAGACCCAACUUGUAUCUCUCUGUAAAUCCACAAACAGUCAGCAGAAAUUGUUGAUGUGGAGACAGCCCUCAGCCUAAGCGUGUGAGUCUGCAAGUUAAAACAUUUGGAUUGACUUUCUGAGUCUGCUGUUCCCUGAGGGGGAAGUUAUUAUUGUCACUGACCUUCUCACUUUCUACUCCUGAACUCAGGGAGCGAUGAGGACAGUAGGCUUACUCGUACUGAAGUCAAAUGCAAUGCUUUUCUGCAUUUUUUGGGAAAGUGCCAUUCCUGUUUCAAAUGUUAAUUACCCAUGGCAUAACUUCCAUGAAAUUAUUUUACCAUCCUUUACCUUUUGGAUGAAGAGGAACCUGAACUUCCAGUCAGGCUAAAUCAUGCUAAACCAAAAGGUAUCAGAUUAAAUUCCUUACAUGCCAACAUUCCUUAAUCCUAGCAGCAUCUUAACAAUAUGCAUUUUGCCAAAGCAACUUAUUCACCUAAAACUUGUGCCAUGUGUCACAGUUUUUGCCCCCAUGCCGUCCACUCCAUGUCUCUCUUCCUAAUUAGCCAAUUGAGUUUACCUGUCCGCACACCCUCCUCAUCAGCUCCAUCACUCUCACUCGCCCACACUGCUGCACCCGCGCACCUCAGUUUGUAAACCCCAGUCACUCACUCACUUCUUGCCAGAUGGUUCUCCGCAUUCAUGCCUGACUUUCAACCGUGUUUAUCCUCCGACUGUUUCCCCCCCUGUCGACCCGCCUGUUUGGACAUCUCGACCAUGCUUCUUUCCCGGUAAACAACUUGGUCUUCUGUCCCUGACCACGAGAGCGGCCUGUGCUUCUUCUUGUGCUGCCUGCCUUCUCCCCUGACGGCUUGGCGUUCCACCGGGUGGAUUUCUCCAACAGUGAGCUGAUCCAAAACGGGUUUCCUCUGGAAUAAAGCUCGCUAUACGCUGUGUGUCUGUCAUGCUGGAUUUGGGGCCUUACCCCACCUGUAACACCAUCAACACAGAGCAGGCAAAUUGUUUUUGCAUUUGCCUGAUGUUCAAUAUAAUCAUCACUCCAAAUUAGUCCUUAAACAAAGUAAACAUUCUCCCUCUGUUACUAUGGGAUGGAGAGGAGGGCAUCCCCAAUUAUAUUGCCAGCAUACAUGUGACAAGGCCCAUUGCCUACAUGCAAAUAUGCAAAUAAGGAGCCCAUACGUAGCUUUUAAGCUCAUAGUAAUAGAAAGACUUAUCAGCCAAGUUACUCAAAGCUCCACCAAGCCUUUCAGCAAAUGUUUGGGGUUUUCCCAAUCUGUAAAUGUGUUGUUUCCUUCUGACAACUCUAUUGAACCGUGUUAACCCUGCAAACCAAAGGAAUCUCAGCACCUAAGAGACACAUUUCCCAUUUGAUUGCGACACAAACAGAGUUAAAAGAGAAUGAAUAUUGGACUUAAAACUCCAUUCUGUCAGCCAUAUAUGUAAAUAAGGAGAAUGUUUUUCGACAAAUAGUAUUAAGAGACAUUAUGAAUGAUUGGUCUACAGCUGUUUUAUAUAUUUGUGUUCUGUAUUACAGAUAUAAGGUGGGCUUCAGCAUCGUAUUGCCAUGUCUGAUGGUCAGUGUAUCUUGGUGAUACCGUGGAAUGUUCAUUAGCAUGUGAGAUGGAUUUUUUUUCACUUACACUAGAGUGAUGGAGCAGCGUAGACACAAUGCCUACUGUUCUUCCAAAACAAACAUAGGGGAUGAACAGUAAGUGUCACCUUGAAGCAGCAUCGAGGUUGUGAAGCUAUAACCAACAAGAAUAAAUGGGCGAAUCAAGUAAGAGUUUGAUUUUUUAUUGCGAUUUUAUAUUUAGAAAAGUUAUUAUAUUAUUAAUACCCAAAGAGCAAAUUAGCUGCACAUCCUGUGCUGAAAUCACAGGUACUUUUAUAAUUGUCUGGCUGUCUUUCGAUCCAUUUCAGUCAAUUUAAUUUAUUGUACUAUCCCCUUUGCACGGUUCCACGAGUGAGAAAUGUCAGCCCAUAGUUAAUGCGUGGCACUGUCACGGUGUGGUUUAUUUCCUGUCUUAUUUUGUAGUUUCUGCUUCUUGUCUCCCUGGGUAACUUCACUUCCUGCAUUGUCCUGUCAUCCCCUGUGAUUGUCUGAUUGUUUCCACCUGUGUCCAAUCACCUGCACCUCCCUAGUGUAAUAAAUCCAAGGCAUGCUGUUAAUACUACACCAUGAGUUGAUUCUAGCAUAUCCCUUUGAACCAGUUUCACCUGUCAUGAAAACAAAUAUGUAAUUACAAACUGUGUUCAUUGUGACGUUGUUUCUAUCUUCUUCUUGGAAACAUUGUGACAGCCACAGAGAUUAAACCAUGGACUAUAUGGUUCAAUCCAUUGGUUUGUCAAAUGAAGUUUCAAAGCAUUGAUUUUGUUUUUUUGGCCAUUGCCAUCUUGGAUUUUGACCUCUGCAGUUCUGUUAUUUUGGAACGGUGUAUGAAAGUGAACAUAUUCAGACUGCGGAGGAGCGAUUCAGAUAAUGAAGAUAUGAUGAACUAUGUUCAUGUUUAAAUCAAGUGGCAGUAGUGACAGAUUGCAGGGAGAAGCGGAAGUUCCCACCUAGACUAUGCAUGUCAAUCUGUAUUUUAUCACAAGCCAAUAUGUGAAUAUGAAGUUCUGAGACAAAAAAAUGGAUUGCGCAAAACUGUGCUUUGUCACUUUAACCUGCAAAAGGAGGAUGAUGGAAUCCCCUGGAUUCUACAAAUCAACAUUGCCAUUUUCCCGGCUGUUAUACACGGAUCAGCGUGCGGCUUAACUAGGCAACAGAGCACGUCGUGGUCCUCGGACAUACUGGAGAAAUUGUAUUGUGACUGAAAAACAAUUUUCAGUCUUAACCCACAGUUUGGUUGUUGCAGCCUGAUCUCAGGUUCGUACCUCGUCAUAGUUAAUAUAUUCUAAUGAUCUUAUUGAUAGUCAUCCUUUUAUCAAUCUAAUCAAAUUGUAAUGUUUGCUAAUAACAAUACACGCUUCUGCCACAUUCCGACAGUGCCAUUUUAAAAGAAUUGAUUAAAGUAAUUUGAUUUACAAACCCACCAUGCAUAGGUUUCUAUCUGUGCUUGAGUAGAAAUUGAUUGAAGGAGGUGAAUCUUGUCCCACUAUUAAAGCAGUCAGACAUGCCAGCUG
Long non-coding RNA from Gasterosteus aculeatus aculeatus (three-spined stickleback), 6820 nucleotides. NCBI's taxonomy places the organism in Eukaryota, Metazoa, Chordata, Actinopteri, Perciformes, Gasterosteidae. The record is from Ensembl.